AUGAACGCUGGCGGCGUGCUUAACACCUGCAAGUCGAACGAUGAAGCCCAGCUUGCUGGGUGGAUUAGUGGCGAACGGGUGAGUAACACGUGAGUAACCUGCCCUUAACUCUGGGAUAAGCCUGGGAAACUGGGUCUAAUACCGGAUAGGAGCGCCUACCGCAUGGUGGGUGUUGGAAAGAUUUAUCGGUUUUGGAUGGACUCGCGGCCUAUCAGCUUGUUGGUGAGGUAAUGGCUCACCAAGGCGACGACGGGUAGCCGGCCUGAGAGGGUGACCGGCCACACUGGGACUGAGACACGGCCCAGACUCCUACGGGAGGCAGCAGUGGGGAAUAUUGCACAAUGGGCGAAAGCCUGAUGCAGCGACGCCGCGUGAGGGAUGACGGCCUUCGGGUUGUAAACCUCUUUCAGUAGGGAAGAAGCGAAAGUGACGGUACCUGCAGAAGAAGCACCGGCUAACUACGUG
RNAcentral lists this ribosomal RNA (465 nucleotides) under uncultured bacterium. Its description in RNAcentral is "partial 16S ribosomal RNA". It matches the Rfam family "Bacterial small subunit ribosomal RNA", at positions 29 to 507 of the family's 1533-position model. The record is from RNAcentral.